UAGGGAAUAUUGCACAAUGGGCGAAAGCCUGAUGCAGCAACGCCGCGUGCGCGAAGAAGGCCUUCGGGUUGUAAAGCGCUUUCGGGGAGAUGAGGAAGGACAGUAUCCCCGGAAUAAGGCUCGGCUAACUACGUGCCAGCAGCCGCGGUAACACGUAGGAGCCAAGCGUUAUCCGAAUUCACUGGGCGUAAAGCGCGUGCAGGCGGCACGGCAAGUUGGAUGUGAAAGCUCCUGGCUCAACUGGGAGAGGACGUUCAAUACUGUCGAGCUAGAGGACGGCAGAGGGAGGUGGAAUUCCCGGUGUAGUGGUGAAAUGCGUAGAUAUCGGGAGGAACACCGAGUGGCGAAGGCGGCCUUCUGGGCCGUUUCUGACGCUCAGACGCGAAAGCUAGGGGAGCA
This 399-nucleotide ribosomal RNA is filed under the name uncultured bacterium. RNAcentral describes it as "bacterial SSU rRNA". It matches the Rfam family "Bacterial small subunit ribosomal RNA", at positions 355 to 770 of the family's 1533-position model. The record is from RNAcentral.